This 465-nucleotide ribosomal RNA is filed under the name uncultured bacterium. RNAcentral describes it as "partial 16S ribosomal RNA". It matches the Rfam family "Bacterial small subunit ribosomal RNA", at positions 28 to 507 of the family's 1533-position model. The record is from RNAcentral.
GACGAACGCUGGCGGCGUGCUUAACACAUGCAAGUCGAACGGAAAGGCCCCUUUGGGGGUCCUCGAGUGGCGAACGGGUGAGUAACACGUGAGUAACCUGCCCUUGACUUCGGGAUAACUUCAGGAAACUGGGGCUAAUACCGGAUAGGAAUCCUUGCUGCAUGGUGGGGGUUGGAAAGCUUCGGCGGUUUUGGAUGGACUCGCGGCUUAUCAGCUUGUUGGUGGGGUAGUGGCUUACCAAGGCUUUGACGGGUAGCCGGCCUGAGAGGGCGACCGGCCACAUUGGGACUGAGGUACGGCCCAGACUCCUACGGGAGGCAGCAGUGGGGAAUAUUGCACAAUGGGCGGAAGCCUGAUGCAGCAACGCCGCGUGCGGGAUGACGGCCUUCGGGUUGUAAACCGCUUUCAGCAGGGGCGAAGCUUGUGGUGACGGUACCUGCAGAAGAAGCACCGGCUAACUACGUG